Molecule: ribosomal RNA, 399 nt
Filed under: uncultured bacterium
Lineage: Bacteria
Description: bacterial SSU rRNA
Rfam family: Bacterial small subunit ribosomal RNA
Source: RNAcentral
UAUUGCGCAAUGGGCGCAAGCCUGACCCAGCAACGCCGCGUGAAGGAAGAAGGCUUUCGGGUUGUAAAAUUCUUUUCUCAGGGACGAAGCAAGUGACGGUACCUGAGGAAUAAGCAACGGCUAACUCCGUGCCAGCAGCCGCGGUAAUACGUAGGUGGCAAGCGUUAUCCGGAUUUACUGGGUGGAAAGGGCGUGUAGGCGGGAAAGCAAGUCAGAUGUGAAAACCAUGGGCUCAACCUGUGGCCUGCAUUUGAAACUUUUUUUCUUGAGUACUGGAGAGGCAGACGGAAUUCCUAGUGUAGCGGUGAAAUGCGUAGAUAUUAGGAGGAACACCAGUGGCGAAGGCGGUCUGCUGGACAGCAACUGACGCUGAGGCGCGAAAGCGUGGGGAGCAAACAG